This 475-nucleotide ribosomal RNA is filed under the name uncultured organism. Its description in RNAcentral is "partial 16S ribosomal RNA". It matches the Rfam family "Bacterial small subunit ribosomal RNA", at positions 330 to 797 of the family's 1533-position model. The record is from RNAcentral.
CGUACACUCCUACGGGAGGCAGCAGUGGGGAAUAUUACACAAUGGGCGCAAGCCUGAUGCAGCCAUGCCGCGUGUAUGAAGAAGGCCUUCGGGUUGUAAAGUACUUUCAGCGGGGAGGAAGGCGAUAAGGUUAAUAACCUUGUUGAUUGACGUUACCCGCAGAAGAAGCACCGGCUAACUCCGUGCCAGCAGCCGCGGUAAUACGGAGGGUGCAAGCGUUAAUCGGAAUUACUGGGCGUAAAGCGCACGCAGGCGGUCUGUCAAGUCGGAUGUGAAAUCCCCGGGCUCAACCUGGGAACUGCAUUCGAAACUGGCAGGCUAGAGUCUUGUAGAGGGGGGUAGAAUUCCAGGUGUAGCGGUGAAAUGCGUAGAGAUCUGGAGGAAUACCGGUGGCGAAGGCGGCCCCCUGGACAAAGACUGACGCUCAGGUGCGAAAGCGUGGGGAGCAAACAGGAUUAGAUACCCCUGUAGUCCC